GAUGAACGCUGGCGGCGUGCCUAACACAUGCAAGUCGAGCGAUUCUCUUCGGAGAAGAGCGGCGGACGGGUGAGUAACGCGUGGGUAACCUACCCUGUACACACGGAUAACAUACCGAAAGGUAUGCUAAUACGGGAUGAUAUAUAGAAAUCGCAUGAUUUUUAUAUCAAAGAUUUAUCGGUACAGGAUGGACCCGCGUCUGAUUAGCUUGUUAGCGGGGUAACGGCCCACCAAGGCGACGAUCAGUAGCCGACCUGAGAGGGUGAUCGGCCACAUUGGAACUGAGACACGGUCCAAACUCCUACGGGAGGCAGCAGUGGGGAAUAUUGCACAAUGGGCGCAAGCCUGAUGCA
Molecule: ribosomal RNA, 353 nt
Filed under: uncultured bacterium
Lineage: Bacteria
Description: bacterial SSU rRNA
Rfam family: Bacterial small subunit ribosomal RNA
Source: RNAcentral